AGUGAACGCUGGCGGUAGGCCUAACACAUGCAAGUCGAACGGCAGCACAGUAAGAGCUUGCUCUUACGGGUGGCGAGUGGCGGACGAGUGAGGAAUACAUCGGAAUCUACUUUUUCGUGGGGGAUAACGUAGGGAAACUUACGCUAAUACCGCAUACGACCUACGGGUGAAAGCAGGGGAUCUUCGGACCUUGCGCGAUUGAAUGAGCCGAUGUCGGAUUAGCUAGUUGGCGGGGUAAAGGCCCACCAAGGCGACGAUCCGUAGCUGGUCUGAGAGGAUGAUCAGCCACACGGGAACUGAGACACGGUCCAGACUCCUACGGGAGGCAGCAGUGGGGAAUAUUGGACAAUGGGCGCAAGCCUGAUCCAGCCAUACCGCGUGGGUGAAGAAGGCCUUCGGGUUGUAAAGCCCUUUUGUUGGGAAAGAAAAGCAGCAGGUUAAUACCCCGCUGUUCUGACGGUACCCAAAGAAUAAGCACCGGCUAACUUCGUG
RNAcentral lists this ribosomal RNA (492 nucleotides) under uncultured bacterium. RNAcentral's name for it is "partial 16S ribosomal RNA". It matches the Rfam family "Bacterial small subunit ribosomal RNA", at positions 29 to 507 of the family's 1533-position model. The record is from RNAcentral.